This 29-nucleotide small RNA is filed under the name Bombyx mori (domestic silkworm). Its description in RNAcentral is "ovarian small RNA-35775". The record is from RNAcentral. Lineage: Eukaryota; Metazoa; Arthropoda; Insecta; Lepidoptera; Bombycidae.
UGUCUAGUGCAAGAGGUGAGUGAAAUGAG